Capsicum annuum is the source of this 2423-nucleotide RNA transcript. RefSeq lists it as uncharacterized. NCBI's taxonomy places the organism in Eukaryota, Viridiplantae, Streptophyta, Magnoliopsida, Solanales, Solanaceae. The transcript is spliced from 3 exons. The record is from RefSeq and is a predicted model, not a curated record.
GCCGGCUACAAUGAGUUGUAAUAAUAAAAACACUCGCAGACAGACACACAAUGAUACAAUGAACAAACGACGCGUGUGCCACAUGUCCCCUUCUUCUUCUCCUUUUCACCUUCUCAAUUUCCUCGUUGUUUAGUUCCCUACAAAUUGAAGAAUUAACAAUGGCAGCUUACAGAGCUUCAAACCUUACAAGGGGUUGUUUGGAAAUCCGUUUGUUCUACGUACGCAUAGCGUCGUGCUCAGUCGACGUUGUUCCUGCCCACCUCUUACUCCGUCACCUCCGCCGUGAAAUGGGUGUUUCAAACGCCGUUUCUGUGACGUUACGCCGUGAUAGGGUUGAUAAGGGAUCAUCAGAGGUGACGUAUGUUAGUACUGACAAUGUUAGAGUUUCUGGGUCGGUGGAAUUUGAGGUAUAUGAAGAGAAAGAGGAGUUUAAGGAGUUAAUACUUUGUGGGUCAUUGGAAAGAGUGGAGGGUACUUGGGAUAAUAAUGGUGAUGGGAACGGGUGGAGUAUGGAUUGUUGCAAUGCGGCGUCUUUUGGGAGUGGUGGGUCGGUGUUUUAUCAACCGACGAUUGAGGUUUAUGUAGCUGGUUGUUGUUCUGGUGUGCCUUUGAUUUUGACUAAGACAAUUCAGGUUAGUCCCAGGAGGAAGUUGUCUAGGCAUGGUAUGUUGGAUGUAAUUCCUGAAGAUGAUGAGGUUGGGAAUGGUUUCAUUCCACAACAAAAACUGCCGAUCACAGACUCAGAGUUGGAUGAUUAUGAGUCAGAAGGAAAAGUUGGACAUGGCUUUUACUCGGAAAACAUGUACCUCGGUGAAGAUGGUCAACUCUCCUGGUUCAAUGCUGGAGUAAGGGUUGGAGUGGGAAUAGGCCUUGGAAUGUGUGUUGGUGUUGGACUUGGGGUGGGGCUACUUAUGCGUUCAUAUCAAACAAUCACUAGGAACCUGCAGAGGAGGUUCUUUUAGGCAUGAGGCUUUCAGUGAGAGUAAGUUAUAGGCGUUAUUGACUUGAUUUGAUGUUGAUUUCAAGGUCGUUAAUGUCUGUUGCGAUGUUCAGCAUCCAACUGUAAGUAGGCAAUAGAGGAUAACAUAGUGGAGCUACUGAGGUGUGGCAUGAUAUAAAUGUCAAGUGUGAGGUGGUGAAGCUGGACUGAAAUAUCAGUUGCUGCAAAAGAUCCUCCAUUGUUGACCGACAUACCGAUGUGUAUGUAGCUGUAUUUGAAAGCGUUGGGAACUAUGUGUUUAUAGGUAUAGUGGCGUGUUGUGCUGGGGGAGGUAUAAGCUGUAUUUAGAUGUAAGUUUCUCUGUGUAGUUAGCGCGGGAUGCUGGUGAUGGUGAAGAUCCUUCUCAGUGUUACUUCUGCUAUGUUUAUAUAAUAAAUCCUUCAAUCCAAGCUGCCAUUCUGUAAUAAGUAGUGUUUGUAAAGUUCUGACAGAAGUGGAUACUGUAUAAAUUGCUAAUGCAACGAAUAGUCUCUCCUGUAAAUUCUUGCUUUUUGUUUAGAUUUUAAUUUUAUCUCGCUUUGGAUUCCUCUGCCAUAUUUAGUACAGUGCACUCAUAGUUGGAGUAAUUUUUUUUUUUUUUCUAAUCAUCAGGUGAAGCUGGCGUACAAGUUUUAUCAUGGUACUUUUGUCUUCUUUCCUUUUUGUAUUUGGAAAUUUCAGAGUACACUUACAAGUGAAGUAUUCUUUCUUAAAUUAGUCUUGUACAUCGAGUUAACAAGCUGUUUCUUUAAGUUUUGCUUGAUUGGCGCCUAACAAAUAAUGAUUAUUCCGUAAAUUAGUUGGGAGGGUAAUAUAUUGCUAUUCCUGUAUUAAUCGAAGUGUCUCCCACGCGCCUAACACCACAAUUAUACAAUUAUGGCAUGAAAAAGUUCGUACCAAGUACCAACCAUAAAAUUGUGAAUUGCCUUCUUAAUCUUAAGAAAAAAGAUCUCAACUGACUAUACUAAGUAUUAUAAUUAGUGGGGGAAUUCAUUUUCUAUUAUAUAUAGAUCAUUAAAAGAAUUUAAUAUAUGAAACUCGUACCCAUCAUUGAAAGUUAAAGCCACGUAAAAUGUGUCAGAAAGUUGCUGAUGGAAUACGCGUAGCAUGGACGUGCGUUACAUUUUUUUUAAUUUGUAUGUAUUAAGACUGACCCCAAACAGAACACGUGAAUACGCCUCUCCCGGUCCCUUUCUCUCUCUCUCUUUGGUUCUCCCUUCCAUUGAUUGCUAAGCAGCAGCAAGGGCGGAUCCAUCAUUCCAUUCGUGGUUGAAUCUGGGUGGUUGAAAGAAUGUCAGACGUAGAUGGAGCUGAAAAGUCAUCCACCCAACAAGAAGUUGUGUUUGCGCCAAGAUUUUUGUUUUCAUGUUACAUUUUAGUUAUACUGCAUAUAUACUGACAUAACAUAUCCUCCUUUUAUUUAAUAGGAGGAAGUUGUUAAAAA